This is a small nucleolar RNA of Microtus oregoni (creeping vole), 74 nucleotides long. The record is from RefSeq and is a predicted model, not a curated record. Lineage: Eukaryota; Metazoa; Chordata; Mammalia; Rodentia; Cricetidae.
GGACCCCUGUGAUGUCCAGCACUGGGCUCUGACCACCCUGAGGACAUGGUGCCCCCAGGGAUCUUGAGGGGUCC